AACGUUUCUAACGAGACGCUAAUACCGCAUGACACCGGUUGUAGGCAUCUAUGACCGGUCAAAGGUGGCCUCUGUUUCAAGCUGUCGCUUGAGGAUGGCCCCGCGUCCGAUUAGCUAGAUGGUGGGGUAACGGCCUACCAUGGCGACGAUCGGUAGCCGGCCUGAGAGGGUGUCCGGCCUCACUGGGACUGAGAUACGGCCCAGACUCCUACGGGAGGCAGCAGUCGAGAGGCUUCCGCAAUGGGGGAAACCCUGACGGAGCGACGCCGCGUGGGUGAGGAAGGUCUUCGGAUCGUAAAACCCUGUCAGGAGGGACGAAAACCGGAUUGGCUAAUACCCUUUCCGCUUGACGGUACCUCCAGAGGAAGCUCCGGCUAACUCCGUGCCAGCAGCCGCGGUAACACGGAGGGAGCAAACGUUGUUCGGAAUUACUGGGCGUAAAGGGCGUGUAGGCGGUUCUCUAAGUCGGGGGUGAAAUCCAGUGGCUCAACCAUUGGCCUGCCUUCGAAACUGGGGAACUUGAGGCCGUGAGAGGAAAGCGGAAUUCCUGGUGUAUCGGUGAAAUGAGUUGA
Molecule: ribosomal RNA, 572 nt
Filed under: uncultured organism
Description: bacterial SSU rRNA
Rfam family: Bacterial small subunit ribosomal RNA
Source: RNAcentral